UACGGAGGAUGCAAGCGUUAUCCGGAAUGAUUGGGCGUAAAGCGUCCGCAGGUGGCUGUGUAAGUCUGCUGUUAAAGAGUGAGGCUCAACCUCAUAAAGGCAGUGGAAACUACAUGGCUAGAGUGCGUUCGGGGCAGAGGGAAUUCCUGGUGUAGCGGUGAAAUGCGUAGAGAUCAGGAAGAACACCGGUGGCGAAAGCGCUCUGCUGGGUCAUAUCUGACACUGAGGGACGAAAGCUAGGGGAGCGAAAGGG
RNAcentral lists this ribosomal RNA (253 nucleotides) under uncultured bacterium. RNAcentral's name for it is "partial 16S ribosomal RNA". It matches the Rfam family "Bacterial small subunit ribosomal RNA", at positions 524 to 776 of the family's 1533-position model. The record is from RNAcentral.